CUCUGCAAUGUCGAUAUUUCAUUUGUAAUCCAGUAAAGCAGAGGAUGCCCGUGUUGUACUCUGCGUGCUAAACCACAGCUCCCCCCUUUAGUAAGAGCAGAGGGAACAUGACACACUCAUAAUCCCGUUAAUGGGGAGACAGAGGGGGGAGUGUCAGAGAUGAGUGUGCGAGGAAACGAUUAGUGGUGGGAGAUAGAGAGCGAUAAAGGGAGGACAGAGCCGACCACAGCUUGCUGCUCGUCAGCUGUUCUCUGCAGAGUCAAUCAGGCUGGACUCUGGUGAUUACAAGAAUUGGAAAUUGCAGUGUUUGCGGCAGGCCCGAGCAGGGCGUCGCUUUGUAUUUUCAGUGGUCAAGCAACACGGCUCUGUGUUUACCUGUGAGCUUCUUCACUGGCUGCAGCCUGACACUGAUGGUCUGGUGUGUGAGCAGCGGGGAGGAGGGCAGCGAGCGUGACACGCCCUCCAUGAUGCGAAUGUGCUGCAUGCCCUCGGUCAUGUGGAGCGGGGGCACGGCGUAGUCUCCCUCAAAGGCACAGUCGCUGUCUAUGCUGCCACCUGCAGGACGGGAGGGGAAACAGAAGAGAGUGAGAUGCUUUACUCUCGAUUGAAGAACACAGGACAGCACAGUGUGGACAAAUGAAGAAGCAUUAUGUAAAGAAAGACAGGAAAAUUGAAAUGUUAGCCGGCCUCUGAAUCUAUAACAGGAGCUCAUUUUAGUUUCAUGAGAACAAUAUUCUGCCUAAAUGAAAUGACAGAAAAUGAAAGAAAUACUUUGACACUGGAUCAAAAAACUGUUUUUAAACAGCAAUAAAAAUGUAACAAAGGA
This is a long non-coding RNA of Notolabrus celidotus (New Zealand spotty), 826 nucleotides long. RefSeq lists it as uncharacterized. The transcript has 2 exons. The record is from RefSeq and is a predicted model, not a curated record. Lineage: Eukaryota; Metazoa; Chordata; Actinopteri; Labriformes; Labridae.